This 457-nucleotide ribosomal RNA is filed under the name uncultured Myxococcales bacterium. Its description in RNAcentral is "bacterial SSU rRNA". It matches the Rfam family "Bacterial small subunit ribosomal RNA", at positions 534 to 989 of the family's 1533-position model. Lineage: Bacteria; Pseudomonadati; Myxococcota; Myxococcia; Myxococcales. The record is from RNAcentral.
GCAAGCGUUGUUCGGAAUUAUUGGGCGUAAAGCGCGUGUAGGCGGCUUAGCAAGUCGGGUGUGAAAGCCCUCGGCUCAACCGAGGAAGUGCGCCCGAAACUGCAGAGCUUGAGUACCGGAGAGGAUGGCGGAAUUCCCCAAGUAGAGGUGAAAUUCGUAGAUAUGGGGAGGAACACCGGUGGCGAAGGCGGCCAUCUGGACGGAUACUGACGCUGAGACGCGAAAGCGUGGGGAGCAAACAGGAUUAGACACCCUGGUAGUCCACGCCGUAAGCGAUGAGAACUAGGUGUCGUGGGUGUUGACCCCCGCGGUGCCGUAGCCAACGCAUUAAGUUCUCCGCCUGGGAAGUACGGCCGCAAGGCUAAAACUCAAAGGAAUUGACGGGGGCCCGCACAAGCGGUGGAGCAUGUGGUUCAAUUCGACGCAACGCGCAGAACCUUACCUGGUCUUGACAUCC